AAAAAAAUAGAAACAGUACAAAAAAUACAAGUACACUAAUUAUUUUGCAUUUCAAACUGAAAUAUUAACACAUAGACCAACAUUACAUUUCGUCACUCAUAAUGGAAGAAAGAGGUGUAUGUAAAUUGAAAUUAACUUAUCAAUUAGCUAAUAGUGAUCAUAAUAUUAAUUAAAAAUUUCAGAAAGAACCGAGAAUAGAAUCAUAAAUUGGUCGGAGAGAUCUAAAAAGACUGAAGUAAGUCUUCUCACUUGGAUGGAUAGAGUCAAAGAAGACAUAAGCAGAUGUAUUGGGACACACAUAUGACUUUGGAUUACACAAAAACGAUGCCUCUAGGUAUCCACUUCCACAACAUCCACUGAAGACUUCCUCGAACCCUAACAUACAAACAUAAAAACAGAAAUGUCUUUGAAACCAGAUUUACUUGCACUGGUAACAAUGGAAAAGAUCAAAUCUUUUUUCUUUAAAAGU
Molecule: small RNA, 469 nt
Filed under: Arabidopsis thaliana (thale cress)
Lineage: Eukaryota; Viridiplantae; Streptophyta; Magnoliopsida; Brassicales; Brassicaceae
Description: ATSL291350
Source: RNAcentral